UGCCAGCCGCCGCGGUAAUACGGAGGUAGCGAGCGUUACUCGGAAUCAUUGGGUGUAAAGGGCAAGUAGGCGGCUUAUUAAGCGAGGGGUGAAAUCUUCCGACUCAAUCGGGAAAUUGCCUUUCGAACUGAUAAGCUUGAGGCCAGAAGAGGGAAAUGGAAUUAGCAGUGUAAGGGUGAAAUCUGUAGAUAUUGCUAAGAACACCAACGGCGAAGGCAAUUUCCUGGUCUGGAUCUGACGCUGAACUGCGAAAGCUAGGGUAGCAAACGGAAUUAGAUA
RNAcentral lists this ribosomal RNA (279 nucleotides) under uncultured bacterium. Its description in RNAcentral is "partial 16S ribosomal RNA". It matches the Rfam family "Bacterial small subunit ribosomal RNA", at positions 506 to 784 of the family's 1533-position model. The record is from RNAcentral.